RNAcentral lists this non-coding RNA (235 nucleotides) under Carnobacterium sp. RNAcentral's name for it is "T-box sequence". It matches the Rfam family "T-box leader". From Rfam's summary of the family: Uncharged tRNA acts as the effector for transcription antitermination of genes in the T-box leader family. T-boxes are found upstream of many aminoacyl-tRNA synthetase genes and some amino acid biosynthetic genes usually in Gram-positive bacteria. Lineage: Bacteria; Bacillati; Bacillota; Bacilli; Lactobacillales; Carnobacteriaceae. The record is from RNAcentral.
UUAAAAGCGAUGAACAAGAAGAGUAAUGUUAUUUUUGGUUUAAUAGAGAAAAGAACAGAUGGUGGGAGUUCUUAACCGAAAUAAGAUGAAGGUAGCUUGGGAGCUGACAGGGUGAAGAAAGAGUAACCUUGUACGGAGUGACGUUACGUUAAAAACGUGAAGAGAGAGGUAUAUUCGGGAAUAACGAAUAUGCAAACUAGGUGGUACCGCGAAUUCUAAAGCAUUCGUCCUAAUG